Molecule: long non-coding RNA, 1147 nt
Filed under: Coturnix japonica (Japanese quail)
Lineage: Eukaryota; Metazoa; Chordata; Aves; Galliformes; Phasianidae
Description: lncRNA (ENSCJPG00005015136.1)
Source: RNAcentral
CAAACACACACACACACACAGACACACACAUGCAGCUCCCACCCCACACACGGUGCAGGAUCUGCUGCAUGCAGCCCUUGGGAAGGGGGGGGGGGGCUGUGCUGCAUCCAUGCAGAGCUGUGCAGGGUGGCUGCAGGGAUGCAUUGGUGCAGGGGGGGGGCUGUUCUGUAGGGGUGCAGUGGGUGCAGAUAUGCUGGCACCAGGGGGAUGCAACGGGGCUGCAACAGGGAUGCAAUGGGUGCAUGGGUGCUGAUACCAUGGGGAUGCAGUGGGUGUGCAAUGGGUGCAGGGAUGCUGGCACCAUGGGGAUGCAAUCUCUAUGGGGUGCAGUAGGGAUGCAUUGGUGCAGACACGCUGUUACCAUGGGGAUGCAAUGGGGGAUGCAAUAGGGAUGCAAUGGGUGCAGGGAUGCUGUCUCUAUGGGGUGCAGUAGAGAUGCAUUGGUGCAGGGAUGCUGGAGCCAUGGGGGUGCAAUGGGGCAUGCAACGGGGAUGCAAUGGCUGCAUGGGUGCUGACACCAUGAGGAUGCAAUGGGGGAUGCAAUGGCUGCAUGGGUGCUGACACCAUGGCAUUGCCUGGCCCUGCUGCUACUGCAGGACCCCCAGACCCCCCUCCCUGCUCCCAGUGGCUGCUCUGCAUUUAUUGCAUGCACUGAGCAGCCCCCAGCAGCAGCAGCAGCAGCAGCAGCAGCAGCAGCAGCUCCCCUCCUGCAGGAGCAGCACGCUGAGCUGUGCAUGCACCAAACCUGCAACCCAAGUUGUCCCCGGGGUUGUUGCUGCAGCGCUGCUCCCCUGCAGAUCUGGAGGCUCUGCUGGCCGCCCUGCAUCCCUUCCUGCUGCUCCUCGACCAGGAGAACCUCAGCGCUGCAGCCCGGGCCAAGAAGCAGCAAAUUGCAGAACUGCUGCGACGGCUGCAGGGCCCGGCAGCAGAGGAUGCAGAAUACAUGAUGAUGCGCUGCAUCUCGCCAUCACUGGGGAUGCAGCAGGGACGGGAUAAUGCAGGUGAGUUAUGCUGCAUGUCGAGCUGCUCACCAUCCUGCAUUGCUGCACGUUGAGCUGCUCACCAUCCUGCAUUGCUGCACGUUGAGCUGCUCACCAUCCUGCAUUGCUGCACGUUGAGCUGCUCACCAUCCUGCAUUGCUGCACAU